UACGUAGGGGGCGAGCGUUGUCCGGAUUUAUUGGGCGUAAAGAGCUCGUAGGCGGUUCGGUAAGUCGGAUGUGAAAUCUCCACGCUCAACGUGGAGGGGCCAUUCGAUACUGCCGUGACUCGAGUCCGGUAGGGGAGUGUGGAAUUCCCGGUGUAGCGGUGAAAUGCGCAGAUAUCGGGAGGAACACCAGUGGCGAAGGCGGCACUCUGGGCCGGUACUGACGCUGAGGAGCGAAAGCGUGGGGAGCGAACAGG
RNAcentral lists this ribosomal RNA (254 nucleotides) under uncultured bacterium. RNAcentral's name for it is "partial 16S ribosomal RNA". It matches the Rfam family "Bacterial small subunit ribosomal RNA", at positions 524 to 776 of the family's 1533-position model. The record is from RNAcentral.